This 378-nucleotide unclassified non-coding RNA is filed under the name plant metagenome. RNAcentral describes it as "partial contains 5.8S ribosomal RNA, internal transcribed spacer 2, and large subunit ribosomal RNA". The stretch from base 1 to 105 matches the Rfam family "5.8S ribosomal RNA", at positions 50 to 154 of the family's 154-position model. The record is from RNAcentral.
GAAAUGCGAUAAGUAAUGUGAAUUUCAGAAUUCAGUGAAUCAUCGAAUCUUUGAACGCAGCUUGCGCUCCUUGGUAUUCCUUGGAGAAUGCCUGUUUGAGUAUCAUGAAAUCUUCAAAGUAAAUCUUUUGUUAACUCAAUUGGUUUCUACUUUGGUAUUGGAGGUCUUUGCAGCUUCACACCUGCUCCUCUUUGUUCAUUAGCUGGAUCUCAGUGUUAUGCUUGGUUCCACUCGGCGUGAUAAGUUAUCUAUCGCUGAGGACACUGUAAAAGGUGGCCAAGGUAAAUGCAGAUGAACCGCUUCUAAUAGUCCAUUGACUUGGACAAUACUUUUAUGAUCUGAUCUCAAAUCAGGUAGGACUACCCGCUGAACUUAAGC